Gorilla gorilla gorilla (western lowland gorilla) is the source of this 609-nucleotide long non-coding RNA. RefSeq lists it as uncharacterized. Lineage: Eukaryota; Metazoa; Chordata; Mammalia; Primates; Hominidae. The record is from RefSeq and is a predicted model, not a curated record. The transcript is spliced from 3 exons.
GACAUGUACCAAGAAAUAUCUUCAGGUGUGGAGAUAAGGGACGGUUUAUCUAUUCGCUCUUUUCCUUUCAUUCUUUGGAAUGGAAUGACUCUUCUAAAGAACAUGCUGUAGGAAGUCUGAAUAUAUCCAACCUCUUGCCUCAAUCAGAAACGAAACUUACAAUGUGAAAGACGAUGACCACCCUUUAUAAAACGUCCUCAGCCCUUGUCCAGCCUUGCAUGGCAUGAGAUUGGAGAAGACGUUCAAGCAGUGUCACUCCUUCGAACAAAGAGUGGAGGUCCCACUUAUCUGACAGCAGCAUCCUACCAAAAUCCCAGUGACAAAAGAAUGACACAGGGGUGAAAAGCAGCUUCCUGUCCGGGAAAAACCAAGUAAUUUUGUACCUGAUCAGGUCAACAUGAGUAAACUCGUCAAGAUAAUUAGAAGGCCCUUAAAGCUCGAUAGUAAUCAAGCCCUCUUCCUAGUGGUGACCAGAGACAGCUUGGUGAGUAUUUCCAUGCUGAUUUAUGAAGUGUAUGAAAGUGAGAAGGAUGAAGACGAAUUCCUGUAUGUGAUAGUAUAUACCUCUAGGGAGACAUUUGGAGUGAAGCUGUCAGUAUAAGACUAGAA